GUAAAAAUGAAAUGCUUUCGUUGUACAUUUCAACAACAGUGUGGUUCAUGACACUACACAAUGCAGACUCCAUGUGUUUCUUGUGAUGUGAACGAUUGCAACGAAUAAGGUAUCUGCCACGUUUCCUGUUUGUAACCGAAAACGUCGAAAGACGAUAAAAAUAGCAGCAACACUUGUGCACUUCUUGCUGAACAUGGUCACGUACAGGUGAAAGGUUUUAUCAGACAAGGAUUUAUUGGACAUUUGACACUAUUAAAUCAUGGGGACAGUAACAUCUCAGUGUGCAAGUCAACAUGUUGCUAUUGGUCUGACAUCGAUUGCACUGCUGAUAUCUGUGUGCUUAAAUGUUGCAUUCUAUUUAAUAAGAAGAAAGGGAAAAAAAUAUGCAGUUAAUGAAAACAUGUUGGAAUAUGAAGAUGAGCCAUUACAUCAAGAUUCACUUCGGUCUUACAGGUUUGAGGAUGAUGAGAUGGAAAGACAAGAAAAUCCGAUUUAUGGAAAUAUAUGUUUAGAGGGAGGAGGAGCUUUUGAAAUCUCUCAGGAGGUGUGCUAUGAACAAAUGUCACAUGCAAACACAGCAAAGCAGGGAUUAAAGGUCCAGCCAGGGGACGUGUCCUAUGCCUCUCUUGAUCUGACUGCCAAUAAAAAGCGUAGGAAGAAGAGAAAAUACCAAAAACAGGCUCAGACUCACCAGGCCCAGACACAUCCUCAACCUGCAUCCCAGCAGAUCUGCAUGGACCAGGAUGACGAGCCUGAUGUCACCCUCCCGUCCCGGAGCAGCAGCCUCCUGAUUUCACGUCACAGCAUCUACCUCAACAGUCAUCAAAAAUUGAUUCAUCAAGAAGAGAGGGAGAGGGAGAGGGAGAGAGAGAGGGAGAGAGAGAGGGAGAGAGAGAUGGAAAUUGAAAGAGAAAGAGAAAGAGAUGAUAAUGUAGAGAGAGAGUUUGAUAUGCACAGAAAUGUGCAUGAAGGCUUUGAUCACUCCCUCGGUAGAUCAAGACAAAGUCUAAAACUGGACAGUUAACAGUUAGAAAGUAAAAAAAAAACAACAACAAAAAAAACUUUAGCGUCUUACUUGUAAAAACACAGGAUACUGUAGGGUGGGGCUGUCAGCGACUGUGAUAUUUUAAGCUCAUCUCUACCCCAAAUCAUAAUUUCUGUGCAUUCAAAAGCAUGCAGAGGAGACCAGCUAUCUGAUCUUGUGUCCAAUCGAGACACAUAUAAAGGAGUUCACCACUUUAAAUCUGCUUUCUUGUUUCUUGCAUUUGAAG
This is a long non-coding RNA of Cyprinus carpio (common carp), 1271 nucleotides long. The record is from Ensembl. Lineage: Eukaryota; Metazoa; Chordata; Actinopteri; Cypriniformes; Cyprinidae.